UAAAAUAAAGCGAUUUAAUUGCGUUCAGUUUCGGCCUGAAUUUAGAAGAAUAUCUAUUUUUU
This 62-nucleotide transfer RNA is filed under the name Amblyomma hebraeum (bont tick). RNAcentral describes it as "tRNA-Arg". The record is from RNAcentral. Lineage: Eukaryota; Metazoa; Arthropoda; Arachnida; Ixodida; Ixodidae.